AAUGAACGCUGGCGGCGUGCUUAACACAUGCAAGUCGAACGGUAACAGGGACUUCGGUCUGCUGACGAGUGGCGCACGGGUGAGUAAUGCAUAGGUAACGUGCCCCUUAGUCUGGGACAGCCACUGGAAACGGUGAUUAAUACUGGAUAUUCCUUCUUAUGUGAUGUAAGAAGGGAAAGGCUUUUCGCUAAGGGAUCGGCCUAUGUUGUAUCAGCUAGUUGGUGAGGUAAUGGCUCACCAAGGCGAUGACACAUAGCGGGUUUGAGAGGAUGAUCCGCCACACUGGUACUGAGACACGGACCAGACUCCUACGGGAGGCAGCAGUGAGGAAUAUUGCACAAUGGGGGAGACCCUGAUGCAGCAACGCCGCGUGGAG
This 376-nucleotide ribosomal RNA is filed under the name uncultured bacterium. RNAcentral describes it as "bacterial SSU rRNA". It matches the Rfam family "Bacterial small subunit ribosomal RNA", at positions 29 to 406 of the family's 1533-position model. The record is from RNAcentral.